This 253-nucleotide ribosomal RNA is filed under the name uncultured bacterium. RNAcentral's name for it is "partial 16S ribosomal RNA". It matches the Rfam family "Bacterial small subunit ribosomal RNA", at positions 524 to 776 of the family's 1533-position model. The record is from RNAcentral.
UACGAAGGGGGCUAGCGUUGUUCGGAAUUACUGGGCGUAAAGCGCACGUAGGCGGGUCUGUAAGUAGAGGGUGAAAUCCCAGGGCUCAACCCUGGAACUGCCUUCUAGACUGCAGGCCUGGAGGUCAGGAGAGGCGAGCGGAAUUCCGAGUGUAGAGGUGAAAUUCGUAGAUAUUCGGAGGAACACCAGUGGCGAAGGCGGCUCGCUGGACUGAUACUGACGCUGAGGUGCGAAAGCGUGGGGAGCAAACAGG